AACGUACGCUGGCGGCACGCCUAACACAUGCAAGUCGAACGAAGUAGCAAUACUUAGUGGCAGACGGGUGAGUAACAUGUAGGUAUCUGCCCUUUGGCCUGGAAUAACACGAGGAAACUUGUGCUAAUACCGGAUAAGUCUUUACGGAGAAAGCUUUAUGCACCAUUGGAUGAGCCUGCACUUGAUUAGUUUGUUGGUGGGGUAAUGGCCUACCAAGACUGUGAUCAAUAGCUGAUUUGAGAGGAUGAUCAGCCACAUUGGGACUGAGACACGGCCCAAACUCCUACGGGAGGCAGCAGUGGGGAAUCUUGCACAAUGGAGGAAACUCUGAUGCACCGAUGCCUCGUGAGUGAAAAAGGCCCUUGGGUUGUAAAGCUCUUUCGUCGGGGAAGAAAAUGACUGUACCCGAAUAAGAAGGUCCGGCUAACUUCGUGCCAGCAGCCGCGGUAAUACGAAGGGACCUAGCGUAGUUCGGAAUUACUGGGCUUAAAGAGUUCGUAGGUGGUUGAAAAAGUUAGUGGUGAAAUCCCAGAGCUUAACUCUGGAACUGCCAUUAAAACUUUUCAGCUAGAGUAUGAUAGAGGAAAGCAGAAUUUCUAGUGUAGAGGUGAAAUUCGUAGAUAUUAGAAAGAAUACCAAUUGCGAAGGCAGCUUUCUGGAUCAUUACUGACACUGAGGAACGAAAGCAUGGGUAGCGAAGAGGAUUAGAUACCCUCGUAGUCCAUGCCGUAAACGAUGUGUGUUAGACGUUGGAAAUUUAUUUUCAGUGUCGCAGGGAAACCGAUAAACACACCGCCUGGGGAGUACGACCGCAAGGUUAAAACUCAAAUGAAUUGACGGGGACCCGCACAAGUAGUGGAGCAUGUGGUUUAAUUCGAAGAUACGCGCAGAACCUUACCAACACUUGACAUGUUCGUCGCGACUCUAAGAGAUUAGAGUUUUCGGUUCGGCCGGACGAAACACAGGUGCUGCAUGGCUGUCGUCAGCUCGUGUCGUGAGAUGUUGGGUUAAGUCCCGCAACGAGCGCAACCCUCACUUUUAGUUGCCAUCAUUAAGUUGGGCACUCUGAAAGAACUGCCAGUGAUAAGCUGGAGGAAGGUGGGGAUGACGUCAAGUCCUCAUGGCCCUUACGUGUUGGGCUACACACGUGCUACAAUGGUAUCUACAACAGGAAGCAAGACUGCGAAGUUAAGCAAAUCCCUAAAGGAUACCUCAGUUCGGAUUGCACUCUGCAACUCGAGUGCAUGAAGCUGGAAUUACUAGUAAUCGUGGAUCAGCGUGCCACGGUGAAUGCGUUCCCGGGUCU
This 1306-nucleotide ribosomal RNA is filed under the name uncultured bacterium. RNAcentral's name for it is "bacterial SSU rRNA". It matches the Rfam family "Bacterial small subunit ribosomal RNA", at positions 28 to 1381 of the family's 1533-position model. The record is from RNAcentral.